UACGUAGGGUGCGAGCGUUGUCCGGAAUUAUUGGGCGUAAAGAGCUCGUAGGCGGUCUGUCGCGUCGGUCGUGAAAACCUGCAGCUUAACUGUGGGCGUGCGGUCGAUACGGGCAUGACUGGAGUUCGGCAGGGGAGACUGGAAUUCCUGGUGUAGCGGUGAAAUGCGCAGAUAUCAGGAGGAACACCGGUGGCGAAGGCGGUUCUCUGGGCAUGACCUGACGCUGAGGAGCGAAAGUGUGGGGAGCGAACAGG
Molecule: ribosomal RNA, 254 nt
Filed under: uncultured bacterium
Lineage: Bacteria
Description: partial 16S ribosomal RNA
Rfam family: Bacterial small subunit ribosomal RNA
Source: RNAcentral